AUUGAACGCUGGCGGCAGGCCUAACACAUGCAAGUCGAACGGUAGCACAGAGAGCUUGCUCUCGGGUGACGAGUGGCGGACGGGUGAGUAAUGUCUGGGAAACUGCCCGAUGGAGGGGGAUAACUACUGGAAACGGUAGCUAAUACCGCAUAACGUCGCAAGACCAAAGUGGGGGACCUUCGGGCCUCACACCAUCGGAUGUGCCCAGAUGGGAUUAGCUAGUAGGUGGGGUAAUGGCUCACCUAGGCGACGAUCCCUAGCUGGUCUGAGAGGAUGACCAGCCACACUGGAACUGAGACACGGUCCAGACUCCUACGGGAGGCAGCAGUGGGGAGUAUUGCACAAUGGGCGCAAGCCUGAUGCAGCCAUGCCGCGUGUAUGAAGAAGGCCUUCGGGUUGUAAAGUACUUUCAGCGGGGAGGAAGGCGGUGAAGUUAAUAGCUUCACCGAUUGACGUUACCCGCAGAAGAAGCACCGGCUAACUCCGUGCCAGCCGCCGCUGUAA
This 504-nucleotide ribosomal RNA is filed under the name uncultured bacterium. RNAcentral describes it as "partial 16S ribosomal RNA". It matches the Rfam family "Bacterial small subunit ribosomal RNA", at positions 30 to 523 of the family's 1533-position model. The record is from RNAcentral.